This 301-nucleotide ribosomal RNA is filed under the name uncultured bacterium. RNAcentral's name for it is "partial 16S ribosomal RNA". It matches the Rfam family "Bacterial small subunit ribosomal RNA", at positions 509 to 807 of the family's 1533-position model. The record is from RNAcentral.
CAGCAGCCGCGGGAAUACGGAGGGCGCGAGCGUUACCCGGAUUUACUGGGCGUAAAGGGCGUGUAGGCGGCCUGGGGCGUCCCAUGUGAAAGGCCACGGCUCAACCGUGGAGUAGCGUGGGAUACGCUCAGGCUAGAGGGUGGGAGAGGGUGGUGGAAUUCCCGGAGUAGCGGUGAAAUGCGCAGAUACCGGGAGGAACGCCGAUGGCGAAGGCAGCCACCUGGUCCACUUCUGACGCUGAGGCGCGAAAGCGUGGGGAGCAAACCGGAUUAGAUACCCGCGUAGUCCCUGUCUCUUAUAC